GUGACCUACAGUAGAAGAGUAACAUACUUCCUCCAUAUCUUGUCUUGCAGCUUCAAUCUCCUCUUGGCCAGUGCCCCUGGGCCUCCUUCAUCAUCUGAACAUGGCUCCUGAUACACUGCUCCAACUCCCUGUCUCUGGCCACCCUGAGGUCACAAUGGUCAAGGCGUUUUGUGGAAUGGUGUGUUUACCUGCUGUGGGGGGGGCCUCCCUGGCGACAUCUGACUGCAGGAUGACUGACAGUGCUCCAUCGCUAGCUAGGCCUGUCGCUAUCUCCAACCUGGACAGCUUCAGCUUAGUGUCUGCACAGCCUGCACAGCCAUCUUUUUCAACGUCUGCUCACCCAGAAUGGAAACAAGGACUCAAGCUGGCGUUAUGUUGACCUCUUCUGGUUGAGAAGUGCACUUCAGCCAGUCUUCUCUCCUCUGACCUCUUCCAGUACUGCAUGUCAAACGGAGGGACCUCUGGAAAUAUAUUUCCACUGGUAAUCUCUUUCUUUCUGACAAAUAAAUGAAUCGAAAGAAAAUGUUUUAUUUUUAUUGCUCUCAGAAGGACCGUGUCCCUGCAGAGCCUGGGCGAAUUUAUCGCUAGGCCUUCUCCUCAAAGACUGUCAUAAAAAUACUCGUACACUGUCCAUGCUGUAUUUUCCAUCUCAAUAGCCUAUUAGUCUAGAAUGGCUCCCUCUCAUUGUCUCCUUUCCUAAACUGCAUUGAAUUCCACAGAGAAGGCAUCCAACAUAUUGCUUUCACCUAUCAUUGCUUUCCUCGUAACCCAUACUGACCACUGCACUGAGCAUAGUGUUCAAUCUGGUUAACCAGUUCAGGAGAGGACACUGAGUCCUCCCCCUAGAUCUGCAGUUACCAG
This 861-nucleotide long non-coding RNA is filed under the name Salmo salar (Atlantic salmon). RNAcentral's name for it is "lncRNA (ENSSSAG00000090825.1, ENSSSAG00000103148.1)". The record is from RNAcentral. Lineage: Eukaryota; Metazoa; Chordata; Actinopteri; Salmoniformes; Salmonidae.